This 319-nucleotide long non-coding RNA is filed under the name Macaca mulatta (Rhesus monkey). RNAcentral describes it as "lncRNA (ENSMMUG00000062846.1)". Lineage: Eukaryota; Metazoa; Chordata; Mammalia; Primates; Cercopithecidae. The record is from RNAcentral.
AUGUGCUCAGGAUGGACCUAUGUUCGUACCAUUGAUGUCUCAGUGCCCCUCCUGGUCAGGUGUCCAGAGACCUCUCACUUUUAUCAUGUCCAUUAUUCCCAGCAACCCUGCAGACUCAUCCAAGAUCAACUGCAGAGGAAGAGGAGGGAAAUUUUAAAUGGGAACAAUUAUCUGAAAAAUACAAUAGAAGGCAACUGGAAAAGAGGCAAAGAUUCUAACUACAUACUGCAGAAAAAAUAUUCACACCUGUCAAAUUCCAACAGCUGGCGUUAUUGUUGUUCUAUGGAUAAGCACACACAGAAUCCUCGUGGAUAGUUCU